RNAcentral lists this non-coding RNA (205 nucleotides) under Chryseolinea serpens. Lineage: Bacteria; Pseudomonadati; Bacteroidota; Cytophagia; Cytophagales; Fulvivirgaceae. The record is from RNAcentral.
AACAUCAUCGCCGUUGCUGGUUUCCCCUACACGGGAAUUAAUAAGGAAUCGUGUGUAAAUCACGAGCUGUCGCGCAACUGUAAUCCCGCCUUCGUGAACGUGAAGGUCAGCGCUUGUUCAAGUAUGCCAUUGUCCGCCAUCGGUGGACGAGAAGGCGAACAAGGGUCGGGAAAGCCAGGAGACUUGCCUGUAACGCAUUGACUUU